ACUGCUCAGUAACACGUGGAUAACCUGCCCAAGGGUCCGGGAUAACCCCGGGAAACUGGGGAUAAUACCGGAUGGAUCACUAGUGCUGGAAUGCUUGGUGGUCGAAAGGUAACGCCUUUGGAUGGGUCUGCGGCGGAUUAGGUUGACGCCGGUGUAACGUACCGGCGUGCCUGUAAUCCGUACGGGUUGUGGGAGCAAGAGCCCGGAGACGGAUUCUGAGACACGAAUCCAGGCCCUACGGGGCGCAGCAGGCGCGAAAACUCUACAAUGCAGGCAACUGCGAUAGGGGGACAUCGAGUGGCAUCCACCUUGGGUGCCUGUCCAACCGUCCAAAAAACGGUUGUUAGCAAGGGCCGGGUAAGACCGGUGCCAGCCGCCGCGGUAAUACCGGCGGCUCGAGUGGUGGCCGAUAUUAUUGAGUCUAAAGGGUCCGUAGCCGGCUUUGCAAGUCCCCUGGGAAAUCCAGCGGCUUAACCGUUGGGCUUUCAUGGGAUACUACAUUGCUUGGGACUGGGAGAGGUAGUAGGUACUCGGGGGGUAGGGGUGAAAUCCUGUAAUCCUCCGGGGACCACCGGUGGCGAAGGCGUCCUACCAGAACAGGUCCGACGGUGAGGGACGAAAGCUAGGGGCACGAACCGGAUUAGAUACCCGGGUAGUCCUAGCCGUAAACGAUGCCCGCUAGGUGUCACGACGGCCGUGAAUCGUCGUGGUGCCGUAGGGAAGCCGCGAAGCGGGCCACUUGGGAAGUACGACCGCAAGGUUGAAACUUAAAGGAAUUGGCGGGGGAGCAC
Molecule: ribosomal RNA, 791 nt
Filed under: uncultured archaeon
Lineage: Archaea
Description: bacterial SSU rRNA
Rfam family: Archaeal small subunit ribosomal RNA
Source: RNAcentral